Molecule: regulatory RNA element, 126 nt
Rfam family: FMN riboswitch aptamer (RFN element)
About the family: The RFN element is a highly conserved domain that is found frequently in the 5'-untranslated regions of prokaryotic mRNAs that encode for flavin mononucleotide (FMN) biosynthesis and transport proteins. This element is a metabolite-dependent riboswitch that directly binds FMN in the absence of proteins.
Source: Rfam
AGUCAGCUCCGGGGUCGGUGUAAUUCCGAACCGGCGGUGAAAGUCCGCGACCCGCUCGCAUAGAGGGCGGUUGAAUCGGUGUAAUUCCGAUACCGACGGUGAAAGUCCGGAUGGGAGGAGCAUGAG